CGGGGAGGCAGCUGUGUGGUCAGGGAGUGGCCAGAGGGAGCGGAGAGAAACUGGGCUGUGUCCUGUGGGUGAAACCAAGGGGUGUCCUGACCAGCAGGAUAUCCCUGACCAAGGUUAUGGCGGGGGCCUGGGUGCCACGGAUGGCAGCAGGCAUGCCAGAAGGACUGGGAGGAUGUGGGCGCAGCUAGAGGGGCCCCCUAGGGAGGAAGUGAGAAAGACCAACACGGUCUGAGACUGGAGACUGUCUCUUCGGGACUGAGGUGACAUCGAAUUUGGUUUACAACCACCUGCAUGCUCAGCGGCGAGUUCCUACGGAUGAGCAGUGCUUUACUGGUAGUUCGUGGGUAGCUACUGAAUGGACUAGUGAAUAAAGUCACGUCACACUCAGCAGUUGGAACUUUCAGGUUGAAUUCACAUGCUUCAGGCUUGGUCCAGCCAACAGAAAGCAGCGUUCAACAGGGCACACACUGCCGUGGCUUCCCCUUCCCCUCCGUGAAGGACAGUGGCACGGACCAGAGACCACACAGCUCACAUGGAGACUUCGAAGCACGGCAAGGCCUUCAUUGCUGUACUCAACAUCAGGAAAACCCUGGAAGAGGCCACUAGCGGGACACUGCUCCAGGGAUGUUUCUGAAUCCAUUCUGAUUUAUUUUAAGCAAAUCUUAUACAUGUGAGUAGCUGAGUGUUUUAUUAAAAUUAGUGAUGGUCUGAACACAUUUCAUUAUUAACCUCAAUAAAUUUAGAACUUCAACUUCAUUUAAUACAAUUAUUAUGCAAAACAAAGAAAAUCUCCUAGAAAAUGGUUUGGGACACAUUAAAGUAGGAAUAAUCUUGAUAUUAAAGUGAGAAUGGAAACAUUGUCAUAUUACCUCAUUUCUUUCAUCGAAACUUUUGCUGGAAA
Long non-coding RNA from Cavia porcellus (domestic guinea pig), 901 nucleotides. Lineage: Eukaryota; Metazoa; Chordata; Mammalia; Rodentia; Caviidae. The record is from Ensembl.